UGGAAGCAGUCUCAGAGAUAAGUCCCAUUGAUUUCGGUGGAACACAUCAAGAUGUUAAGAAGAAUUAAACUAUAAUGUUCUACCUUUCGAGGAGAGAUGUUGGAAAGAACGAGAAAGAGAUUAUGCUAAAGCAAAUGCUGGCCAGUCCAAAGCAAGAUUAACUAUAGGCAUUAGCAAACUGAAAAAGGAAAAGCAAUUUAACAUAAUCCUUUUUGAAAUUAUAAAUGAAAGAAGGAUGAUCCCUUCUUUGCUAUCUUCUGUUCUAUUUCAUCUGUUAUCUCCCUUUCUUAUUUUCAUUUUAUUUUGACAGUAAGCUCAGUGGACAACAUCAACAGCUGAGCUGUUUCUCCAUUCUGGAGGGCAGAAGAACCAAGAGAAGGAAGGCACUUUGCAAGAUUCACAGGCUAUAUGUUUGAGACUAUUGAUUUCUUUGUCUCCUCACCAUAACGACUGAAUCUAUUCUCCCACUUUUAAAAGCCAACAACAGAAUGACACUUCGGAGAUAAAAUGGGUACCACAAGCAUAUGUUCUGACAAGAUAAUACUUCCGAAGUUUCUGUUUUCUCCUGGACAACAUAUGGACACUUGUUAUUGAUUUGCCAAAGCCUUCUUCUUGAUGAAAACGGCAAAAAGGAAUGGCUCACCCAAGUACAAAUGGCUCUGUCUGAAGGUCUGGAGUGGCAUUUUAGGAGCACUAGUGGAUUGGGAGGUAGCUAAAAAGCCAAGCUAUUGACUGAGUAAGCCCUAUAUGGAUUGGGACCUGGCUGCCUGAAAUACUGUCUUCUUCCAUACAAGCCUGCCUGGUUCUUGAGAUGCUCUGGAGAAGCCUUUUCUUCACGAUUGUUUCCUUCAGAGGCAUGUCCGGUGGUGACCCAAGAAAGGGGUUCUUCAGUGGCCCUUUUCAGGCUGUGGAACUCCUUGCCAAGGGAGGCUGUGUUCAACCCCUCUCUGCUGCCUUUCCACUGGCUGGCAAAGACACUUUACUCAAGAAGGCCUUCGGCUGUGUUUAUGUUGGCAUGGAAUUUGGACUGGAUCGCCCUUGAAUUGGAGGACUGUCUUCUGGAAAUCUUACAGCUAGAGUCUGCCCUCUGAAAAUUAGGACACAGGGCCACCCUAGAAGCAAUAGAGGAAGAGAUAAAUGGAGUUCUGCAGUGUUUCCUUCUACUUUCAAGAAAGGAUGUGCAUCUCCUUAUUCUCUGUGCAGAAAUAAACAAGAAUAUUUCUUUAAACAUC
Long non-coding RNA from Varanus komodoensis (Komodo dragon), 1232 nucleotides. RefSeq lists it as uncharacterized. The record is from RefSeq and is a predicted model, not a curated record. Lineage: Eukaryota; Metazoa; Chordata; Lepidosauria; Squamata; Varanidae. The transcript is spliced from 3 exons.